CCGUCGUUUUUAUAGCUCUAACAGCGUUACGAAAACAAUGGGUUAGACGGGGGAAACCAGUGUCCUUGAGAGAAGACUAGGAUGUCAAAUCCUUCCAAAAGAAAAGCUCACCUACACCAGGGGUGGCCUGACACUGUUACGAAAGCAAAAGCUCUUUUUUUCUCUCCGUUCCCACUUUCCAAGUUGGCAGAGGAAUCCAAACAAAGUUCACAAGCAAAAAAAAGCUGUCCUCGCACUGCCCACAAGCAAUCAAUUGCAAGCCAGCUUUGGAACUACAUGCAGGGCAUCCACCCAUGCUUUCCUCCAUCUCUAUCGGUUUAGGAAAGCGAUGGCUUGGUCUUUUUCUCCACGUCUCCUAGUAGAGCCUAUGUUAGCCGUCCCCACCUACGGGAAUCCUGUACAAAAAGUAAAAGCGGAAGCAGAGAGAAGAGAAGAGAGGAAAAGGAGGGAGCUAUUUGUUUUGCAUGGGUUUGUGUCAUGCGGGCAGGAAGCCUAAAAAGAAGGGGAGAGAUGGACUUGUCUCCCCAUCUCUCUCCCCCACCGUCCUUCCCUUAAACUCACAAAUCUCAUGAUCAUACAAAGCACACGCUAAAGGUCUUUGGGUGUUGAAAACUUCAGGAAAGUUUGGCUGGUGAAUGAACAAGGUUUGGUGGAAAUUCCCCGCCAUUUGUCAGCAGGGAAGAUUGCUCGG
This 691-nucleotide long non-coding RNA is filed under the name Elaeis guineensis (African oil palm). Its description in RNAcentral is "long non-coding RNA (EGUI_LNC031525)". Lineage: Eukaryota; Viridiplantae; Streptophyta; Magnoliopsida; Arecales; Arecaceae. The record is from RNAcentral.